This 465-nucleotide ribosomal RNA is filed under the name Ruminococcus bromii. Its description in RNAcentral is "bacterial SSU rRNA". It matches the Rfam family "Bacterial small subunit ribosomal RNA", at positions 1 to 446 of the family's 1533-position model. Lineage: Bacteria; Bacillati; Bacillota; Clostridia; Eubacteriales; Oscillospiraceae. The record is from RNAcentral.
AAAUUUUAGAGAGUUUGAUCCUGGCUCAGGACGAACGCUGGCGGCGUGCCUAACACAUGCAAGUCGAACGGAACUUCUUUAAUUGAUUUCUUCGGAAUGAUUUUGAUUAAGUUUAGUGGCGGACGGGUGAGUAACGCGUGAGUAACCUGCCUCUGAGAGGGGAAUAACAUUCUGAAAAGAAUGCUAAUACCGCAUAAUAUAUAUUUAUCGCAUGGUAGAUAUAUCAAAGAUUUAUCGCUUAGAGAUGGACUCGCGUCCGAUUAGUUAGUUGGUGAGGUAACGGCUCACCAAGACCGCGAUCGGUAGCCGGACUGAGAGGUUGAACGGCCACAUUGGGACUGAGACACGGCCCAGACUCCUACGGGAGGCAGCAGUGGGGGAUAUUGCGCAAUGGGGGAAACCCUGACGCAGCAACGCCGCGUGAGGAUGAAGGUCUUCGGAUUGUAAACUUCUUUUAUUAAGGAC